This 440-nucleotide ribosomal RNA is filed under the name uncultured bacterium. Its description in RNAcentral is "partial 16S ribosomal RNA". It matches the Rfam family "Bacterial small subunit ribosomal RNA", at positions 338 to 795 of the family's 1533-position model. The record is from RNAcentral.
CCUACGGGGGGCUGCAGUAGGGAAUAUUGCUCAAUGGGCGACACCCUGAUGCAGCAACGCCGCGUGGAGGAUGACGGUUUUCGGAUUGUUAACUCCUUUUGUUAGAGAAGACAAUGACGGUAUCUAACGAAUAAGCACCGGCUAACUCCGUGCCAGCAGCCGCGGUAAUACGGAGGGUGCAAGCGUUACCCGGAAUCACUGGGCGUAAAGAGCGCGUAGGCGGGAUAGCAAGUCAGAUGUGAAAUCCUAUGGCUUAACCAUAGAACUGCAUUUGAAACUGUUAUUCUAGAGUAUGGGAGAGGUAGGUGGAAUGCGUGGUGUAGAGGUGAAAUCCGUAGAGAUCAAGAGGAAUACUCAUUGCGAAGGCGACCUGCUAGAACAUAACUGACGCUGAUGCGCGAAAGCGUGGGGAGCAAACAGGAUUAGAUACCCGAGUAGUC